RNAcentral lists this ribosomal RNA (265 nucleotides) under uncultured bacterium. Its description in RNAcentral is "partial 16S ribosomal RNA". It matches the Rfam family "Bacterial small subunit ribosomal RNA", at positions 524 to 787 of the family's 1533-position model. The record is from RNAcentral.
UACGGGGGGAGCAAGCGUUGUUCGGAUUUACUGGGCGUAAAGGGCGCGUAGGCGGCCACCGCAAGUCGACUGUGAAAUCUCCGGGCUUAACCCGGAACGGUCAGCCGAUACUGCGGGGCUAGAGUGCAGAAGGGGCAACUGGAAUUCUCGGUGUAGCGGUGAAAUGCGUAGAUAUCGAGAGGAACACCUGCGGCGAAGGCGGGAUCCUGGGCCGUUGCUGACACUGAGGCGCGAAAGCUGGGGGAGCGAACAGGAUUAGAAACCC